GAUGAACGCUGGCGGCGUGCCUAAUACAUGCAAGUCGAGCGAACGGACGAGAAGCUUGCUUCUCUGAUGUUAGCGGCGGACGGGUGAGUAACACGUGGAUAACCUACCUAUAAGACUGGGAUAACUUCGGGAAACCGGAGCUAAUACCGGAUAAUAUUUUGAACCGCAUGGUUCAAAAGUGAAAGACGGUCUUGCUGUCACUUAUAGAUGGAUCCGCGCUGCAUUAGCUAGUUGGUAAGGUAACGGCUUACCAAGGCAACGAUGCAUAGCCGACCUGAGAGGGUGAUCGGCCACACUGGAACUGAGACACGGUCCAGACUCCUACGGGAGGCAGCAGUAGGGAAUCUUCCGCAAUGGGCGAAAGCCUGACGGAGCAACGCCGCGUGAGUGAUGAAGGGCUUCGGAUCGUAAAACUCUGUUAUUAGGGAAGAACAUAUGUGUAAGUAACUGUGCACCUCUUGACGGUACCUAAUCAGAAAGCCACGGCUAACUACGU
RNAcentral lists this ribosomal RNA (496 nucleotides) under uncultured bacterium. RNAcentral's name for it is "partial 16S ribosomal RNA". It matches the Rfam family "Bacterial small subunit ribosomal RNA", at positions 28 to 506 of the family's 1533-position model. The record is from RNAcentral.